UUUUCCACCUUUUUAGAAUUAGGGAGUGAAAAGGGAAAGGAUAGACGAGAAGCAAAAAUAAGUAUAAAAAAUGGUGAAAAGAGCAAAAAGGUUAUGAAUAAUUUAGUUAAUAUAAUAGAAUAAAACAUAUACAUUAAUUUGAUAAUUUAUAAAAUAACUAAAAUAUCCUUGUGCUACAAAUGAAAUGUGAUUUUUCAAGGACGACUCCGCCGGC
Molecule: long non-coding RNA, 214 nt
Filed under: Vigna radiata
Lineage: Eukaryota; Viridiplantae; Streptophyta; Magnoliopsida; Fabales; Fabaceae
Description: long non-coding RNA (VRAD_LNC000396)
Source: RNAcentral